AUUGAACGCUGGUGGCAGGCCUAACACAUGCAAGUCGAGCGGAUGAAGGGAGCUUGCUCCUGGAUUCAGCGGCGGACGGGUGAGUAAUGCCUAGGAAUCUGCCUGGUAGUGAGGGAUAACGUCCGGAAACGGGCGCUAAUACCGCAUACGUCCUGAGGGAGAAAGUGGGGGAUCUUCGGACCUCACGCUAUCAGAUGAGCCUAGGUCGGAUUAGCUAGUUGGUGGGGUAAAGGCCUACCAAGGCGACGAUCCGUAACUGGUCUGAGAGGAUGAUCAGUCACACUGGAACUGAGACACGGUCCAGACUCCUACGGGAGGCAGCAGUGGGGAAUAUUGGACAAUGGGCGAAAGCCUGAUCCAGCCAUGCCGCGUGUGUGAAGAAGGUCUUCGGAUUGUAAAGCACUUUAAGUUGGGAGGAAGGGCAGUAAGUUAAUACCUUGCUGUUUUGACGUUACCAACAGAAUAAGCACCGGCUAACUUCGUG
RNAcentral lists this ribosomal RNA (484 nucleotides) under uncultured bacterium. RNAcentral's name for it is "partial 16S ribosomal RNA". It matches the Rfam family "Bacterial small subunit ribosomal RNA", at positions 30 to 507 of the family's 1533-position model. The record is from RNAcentral.